RNAcentral lists this unclassified non-coding RNA (379 nucleotides) under uncultured bacterium. Its description in RNAcentral is "contains 16S-23S intergenic spacer region". The record is from RNAcentral.
UCCGGUUUGUCACCGGCAGUCUCCUUAGAGUGCCCAACUAAAUGCUGGCAACUAAGAACAAGGGUUGCGCUCGUUGCGGGACUUAACCCAACAUCUCACGACACGAGCUGACGACAGCCAUGCAGCACCUGUGUCCAGGUUCCCUUUCGGGCACCCCUGCAUUUCUGCAGGGUUCCUAGCAUGUCAAGCCCAGGUAAGGUUCUUCGCGUUGCGUCGAAUUGAACCACAUGCUCCGCUGCUUGUGCGGGUCCCCGUCAAUUCCUUUGAGUUUUAGCCUUGCGGCCGUACUCCCCAGGCGGGGCACUUAAUGCGUUAGCUUCGGCACCGGAGGAGUCGACACCUCCGACACCUAGUGUCCAUCGUUUACGGCGUGGACUAC